Molecule: long non-coding RNA, 1651 nt
Organism: Salvia splendens (bonfire salvia)
Lineage: Eukaryota; Viridiplantae; Streptophyta; Magnoliopsida; Lamiales; Lamiaceae
Exons: 2
Source: RefSeq, a predicted model, not a curated record
UUUCCCUUUGUUAAGAAAAAUUAUAUGUUUUUCGGACUUGGGAAAAAUUAUUCAUACUUCAAAAUUAUUUCGAAAAUAAUUAAAUAACUCCUAAAAAAAAUUUAUUUAAUCCCAUGAUUAACUUAUCGUAAUAAUUUCCCACCGAGAAUUUAUAUUUAUUUCUGCCUUGGAAAUAUCCUAAAAUUAAUUAAUACAAUUCUCCACAAUUAAUUCAAUUAUCAACCCAAAGAUUUAUUUACAAAACCCAAAAUUCUCCACCUUAUCUCUCAAAUGAUACCAUUUUCGAAACUGGGCCGAGUCUCUUUCCCAUUUUUUUUUUGCCCACAAUAAAUAAAUUCAAAAAUUGGGUCUCCCUCUAAUUAAAGCAGCCAUUAUGAUUUUAAAAGAAAUGGACUCAUAUUAAUUCAUCACCAUUAAAUUUAUUCAUCGGCCCAAGGAUUUAAAUUAAUCUAUCCCAAAGAACUUAAUUAGAAUUAUAGCAUAAAGCAAACUUAUAUUGCAGCCCAAACUCCUUUAGGAAAAUAAUCCCAUUUAUUCUCUUCUCUAGGCCCAAACAAUAAAUCUCUUGGCCCAAAUCUUAAUAAAUGACCUCAUGGUCCAAUUCAACAAUUAAAUGAGGUAGUCCAUUUAUUCCCUUACUUCAAUUCUAGGCCCGAUUCCCUUUAAUUAAUUAAAGUGGCCCAAUUAAAAUGAAUAAUGACCCAAUAUACUCCUUCCCCCAUACGUGACUUUCCCCCAUUUCACUUCCUUCUCCAAUUCUAAUCCCUAAUUGAAGAAGUGAGCAGUGCCUCCUCUCCCUCACUCUCACGUCUCAUCUCUCUCGUCUCUCUCUCUCUUUCUCUUCUCUCUUCACCGUCGCGCCGCCAUCCUCACCGUCUUUCUCCCGUUCCGCCGCCGCCACCGCUGUGCAUGCACAGCCGGCGACUUCGUCGCCCUCGUCCCGGAAGUCCGCUGGUCUGCACGCUCCGUCCCUUUCUCUCCCAGUCGGCCUCUCUCUCUCGGUCGGUCUCUCUCUCCCUCGAUUCGCCGCACCGCCACCGCCGCUGCGGAUCUGCCGCCGUCGCCGAGAACCGCUGCUGUAGCCGCUGCUGUCCCAGCCUGCCGGUCAGCCUCCGAUCGACUCCGAGUCCACCCCGAACCGACACCGCGCAGCCCCGAACAACUCCGAACAGCCCCGAAACAUCCCGGAACUAACCCGUUCAGCCCCAAAAGAUAAGUCCCCUUACCAAGUUCUUUCGCAUUUCGAUUUAAUCAUGGGAGUGUUCAAUUGUGUUAAUUGCUUGAGUUAUGCGAUUAGUUCGGAUGAUGGUAUGUUUAUGCAUAAACUGAUGAUUGAAACUCGAAAAUGGGAAAGGAUUUUUACCUUGAUAAUCCGAUAUCGAUUGUGAAAUUGUAGGACCGAAAGGAGUAGCCCACUGGAUUUUGCAGAUUCAGUUUCUGUCAAAAUUUUACAUAACGUUUGAUUUCCAAAAGAAGUGCGAAAUUGUGCUAUUAACGGAGGAAGAACGUAGAAGAGAGAAGAAUAAACUAAGGAGAAGAUUUAAUAUAGAGGGAUGGCGGUUUGGAGCAAAAUAUCUUAGAUUUUUUUUAUUAUAUUAAUUUACUAACUUGGUGACCAAGUUAGAUUAUUUAAAAAAAAAAUUUCUUUUUU